AUUGAACGCUGGCGGCAUGCUUUACACAUGCAAGUCGAACGGUAACAGGUUAAGCUGACGAGUGGCGAACGGGUGAGUAAUGUAUCGGAACGUGCCCAGUCGUGGGGGAUAACGUAGCGAAAGCUACGCUAAUACCGCAUACGAUCUGUGGAUGAAAGCGGGGGACCGUAAGGCCUCGCGCGAUUGGAGCGGCCGAUAUCAGAUUAGGUAGUUGGUGGGGUAAAGGCCCACCAAGCCAACGAUCUGUAGCUGGUCUGAGAGGACGACCAGCCACACUGGGACUGAGACACGGCCCAGACUCCUACGGGAGGCAGCAGUGGGGAAUUUUGGACAAUGGGGGCAACCCUGAUCAGCAAUGCCGCGUGCAGGAAGAGGGCCUUCGGGUUGUAAACUGCUUUUGUACGGAACGAAAAGGCUCUGGUUAAUACCUGGGGUUUAUGACGGUACCGUAAGAAUAAGCACCGGCUAACUACGUGCCAGCAGCCGCGGUAA
RNAcentral lists this ribosomal RNA (492 nucleotides) under uncultured bacterium. Its description in RNAcentral is "partial 16S ribosomal RNA". It matches the Rfam family "Bacterial small subunit ribosomal RNA", at positions 30 to 523 of the family's 1533-position model. The record is from RNAcentral.